CCUUCUGCAGGCUGUUUUCUCAUUGUAAAGUGAGAGAUGUAAUAUCUCUCUAUUGGAGGAAAGCAAUAUGCAACAGCUGGAACUAAGUAAAUGCUCUUUCUCAUUCAUUUAACGGAGUUUAGGAGUUCCUUCAUGCUCAGAGGGUUAAGAACCUGGUAUUGUCACUGCUUUGCCUCAGGUCACUGCUGUGGCACUGGUUGGAUCCUCGGCCUGGGAACUUCAACAUGAUGUGAUUGUGGACAAACAAACAAACAGAGUAGUUUAAAUGUUUGGGACCUUACUUGUGGCUGGUGAGGAUGAUGAAGAGCUUCCAACAGAGCACUAUUUGGAUAAAAAAAAAUUUAUUAUAUUGAGUUCCCAUUGUGGCUUAGCAAUAACAAACCCAGCUAGUAUCCUUGAAGACUCAGGUUUGAUCCUUGGCAUCACUCACUAUUUUGAGAAUCUGGUCUUGCCUUGAGCUGUGAUGUAAGUCACAGACAGAAUAUGGAUCACCCAUCACUGUGGCUGUGGUGUAGGCUGACUGCUGUAGCUCUGAUUUGAUCCCUAGCCUGGUAACUUCCAUAGGCUAUGGGUGCAGCCCUAAACAUGUAGCAAAAAUUGAUUAUAUCACAUGUUAUUGUGGUUGUGAUGGUAGAAUGUAAACUGAGCAAUUUGGAGGACAAUUUGGCAAUGAACUACCAAAAACCAUGCAUACCCUAUGUCUUAGACUGCUUGGGCUGCUUUCAUAAAGUACAAUAGACUGGGGGCCUUAAACAACAGACAUUUAUUUCUUGCAGUUCUGGAGGCUGGGAAACCCAAGAUCAGGUACUCAGCAUGAUUGGAUUCUGGUGAGGGCCCAAUUUCAGACUUACUGAUGCCUGCCUUCUUUAUCUCAUAUGAUGGAGAGAGACAGAGCAGGUUGUCUAGAUUAUUUUUCUAGGGGCACUAAUUCCAUCAUGAGAACCCCACCCUUCUGACCAUGUUACCUAAUUAUCUCCCAAAGGCUCCUCUUCCAGGUACCAUUACAGUGUGGGUUAGGGUUUCAACAUAUGAAUUUUUUGGGGGGAGACAUUUUCUCCACCUUGGUGGGGAUCACUGCUAGAGGUCAGUGUCUGAGCUUAGAAAGCUGUGGGCCUCAAGCUCCAACCAACCACACAUUCUCCAUGAAAAAUCAGCUUGCCAGCUAAAGUUCUACAUCCAGAACCCAGUUGGUAGCAAAAGCCCUUGUGUGUUUCCAUCUAUUCACAUGCAUGCAAAUACUACUUACCAUCACAGAUUAAGGAGCAUCUAUAAAAUGGAAACCAUCAGAUUUCAAGGCUUUUAAAUUUAUUUGAAAUUUUGGGGUUCAAGGAUCCCAAAAUAUUAGUUAAGCAUUUACUAUUGAUGUGUGUGUGUGUGCACAAAACAUAGAGUGAAUUCUCCAUUAAUUUCUCCCUGUUGCCUUACUGCCCAUGAGGAGUAAUCCUGACAUUCAGGGACAUUCAUUUUUUUUCCUUGAAGGAAAGAAUAUGGAAUUCCAUAGAAGGAAGGAGAUAAGACACACAGCUAUGAAGGUAUGGAGUUGGGCUUGAACUCAGAUCUGGCUCCAAAUCAAGUUUCUUUGUCUCUGUGCAGAGACCCUAAUUAGAUCUCUUAAAAGAUUACCAAAUUAUUGUUGGCACUGUCUUGCCUCAGUCC
Molecule: long non-coding RNA, 1656 nt
Filed under: Sus scrofa (pig)
Lineage: Eukaryota; Metazoa; Chordata; Mammalia; Artiodactyla; Suidae
Description: lncRNA (ENSSSCG00035017566.1)
Source: RNAcentral